This 412-nucleotide ribosomal RNA is filed under the name bacterium. RNAcentral describes it as "partial 16S ribosomal RNA". It matches the Rfam family "Bacterial small subunit ribosomal RNA", at positions 355 to 776 of the family's 1533-position model. The record is from RNAcentral.
UGGGGAAUUUUUCGCAAUGGGGGCAACCCUGACGAAGCAAUGCCGCGUGGAUGAUGAAGUAUCUCGGUACGUAAAAUCCUUUCGACGGGGACGAAACCGCCAGGUUGACGGUACCCGUAGAAGAAGCCCCGGCUAACUCCGUGCCAGCAGCCGCGGUAAUACGGGGGGGGCAAGCGUUGUUCGGAAUUACUGGGCGUAAAGGGUGCGUAGGCGGCUCUCUAAGUCGGAUGUGAAAACUCUGGGCUCAACCCAGAGCCUGCAUCUGAAACUGGAGAGCUAGGGUUUUGGAGGGGAAAGCGGAAUUCCAGGUGUAGCGGUGAAAUGCGUAGAUAUCUGGAGGAACACCGGUGGCGAAGGCGGCUUUCUGGACAAAUACCGACGCUGAGGCACGAAAGCUAGGGGAGCAAACAGG